Molecule: ribosomal RNA, 775 nt
Filed under: uncultured Neocallimastigales
Lineage: Eukaryota; Fungi; Neocallimastigomycota; Neocallimastigomycetes; Neocallimastigales
Description: partial large subunit ribosomal RNA
Rfam family: Eukaryotic large subunit ribosomal RNA
Source: RNAcentral
AUAUGUGAUCGUCUCUCGCAUAUCAAUAAGCGGAGGAAAAGAAACUAACAAGGAUUCCCCUAGUAACGGCGAGUGAAGCGGGAAGAGCUCAAAUUUGAAAUCUUAAAGGGUUUCCCUUUACGAAUUGUAGUUUAAAGAAGUGUUUUCUGUUGAGGUUUUGGUAAAAGUUCUUUGGAAUAGGACAUCAUAGAGGGUGAGAAUCCCGUAUUUGACCUUUACUUUCAACUUUGUGAUACACUUUCAAAGGGUCGGAUUGUUUGGGAAUGCAGUCCAAAAUGGGUGGUAAAUUUCAUCUAAAGCUAAAUAUUGGCGAGAGACCGAUAGCGAACAAGUACCGUGAGGGAAAGAUGAAAAGAACUUUGAAAAGAGAGUUAAACAGUACGUGAAAUUGUCAAAAGGGAAGCGUUUGACACCAGUGUUGUUUUUCUGAAAAUCAAUUAAAGAACUGUUUAUGCUAAGUUGUUUAGACUUUAUCAGCUAUCUGCUUAGUUUUGAGCUUUUCUUUAAUGCACUUUUCAGUUAACAAGUCAACAUCAAUUUCUUUUGCUGUAAAAAAGCUUGAGGAAGGUGGCUUGAGAUUCGUCUUAAGUGUUUAUAGCCUCUUGCCUAUGCAGUCGGAGAGAUUGAGGUCUGCAGCGUAGAUCCUUCGGGGCUAAAUGCAUUUGUGCUAAGUUAUAGCAUUUUAUAGACAACUUGUUGACUAUGAUUUGUCUUGUAGCUUACUCGCUUAUGUUAUUUUACCUACGCUUAGGAUGUUGAAGAUAUGCGCGACACG